Molecule: ribosomal RNA, 197 nt
Filed under: uncultured bacterium
Lineage: Bacteria
Description: partial 16S ribosomal RNA
Rfam family: Bacterial small subunit ribosomal RNA
Source: RNAcentral
ACGCUCGACACCUACGGAGGCAGCAGUGGGGAAUAUUGCACAAUGGGGGAAACCCUGAUGCAGCGACGCCGCGUGAGCGAAGAAGUAUUUCGGUAUGUAAAGCUCUAUCAGCAGGGAAGAAACUGACGGUACCUGACUAAGAAGCACCGGCUAAAUACGUGUCAGCAGCCGCGGUAAUCUGAGCGGGCUGGCAAGGC